RNAcentral lists this ribosomal RNA (442 nucleotides) under uncultured bacterium. Its description in RNAcentral is "partial 16S ribosomal RNA". It matches the Rfam family "Bacterial small subunit ribosomal RNA", at positions 339 to 795 of the family's 1533-position model. The record is from RNAcentral.
CUACGGGAGGCUCCAGCCGAGAAUAUUCCGCAAUGGGCGAAAGCCUGACGGAGCGACGCCGCGUGAAGGAUGAAGGCCCUCGGGUCGUAAACUUCUUUUAUGAGGGAGGAAAUUUUUGACGUUACCUCAUGAAUAAGGAGCUCCUAAUUCCGUGCCAGCAGGAGCGGUCAUACGGAAGCUUCAAGCGUUACCCGGAAUCACUGGGCGUAAAGGGUGUGUAGGUUGUUUAGUUAGUCUCCUGUUAAAGACCCGGGCUCAACCCGGGGAGUGCGGGGGAAACGGCUAAACUAGAGUAUGAGAGAGGUGAACGGAACUCAUAGUGUAGGAGUGAAAUCCGUUGAUAUUAUGGGGAACACCAAAGGCGAAGGCAGUUCACUGGCUCAUUACUGACACUGAGACACGAAAGCGUGGGUAGCGAACGGGAUUAGAUACCCGAGUAGUC